This 285-nucleotide ribosomal RNA is filed under the name Triticum aestivum (bread wheat). RNAcentral's name for it is "partial small subunit ribosomal RNA". The record is from RNAcentral. Lineage: Eukaryota; Viridiplantae; Streptophyta; Magnoliopsida; Poales; Poaceae.
AUGGCUCGGCCCGACGAGGUUUGUUUUUUAUGGUCACACAGACGGAUUGGAGAUGGGCAGAGGGCCGAGAUAUUGGCCAUGGAAGCGGCCGGGAUAAGAAAGCAUAUUAUAAUGGACAACUUCAUCAGCAGAUACGGUUCGUACGAUAAGUGCGGGCUUAUCAGGAGGGACAUUUACAAUCUUUGUUGCAGAGAAAAAAUGAGGCUCAUUGCAAAGGGUGAUGCAGAGACGGCAGUUGGCAUUAUGAGGAGUAGGAAGGAGAAGGACCCUGAGUUUUUUUUUUGA